ACACACACACACACACACACACACAUCUCUUGGCACAUCGAAUCAAUGGGAAUUUCAGUGUCACGAUGAGUCACUUGAAUUUCCUGUUUGUGAGAAAUAUAUUUAUCUGGGAAGUCUUUCAGAGUGGGCAGAAGAGCCUUCUAAAUUAACUUCAUGCACUUAAGAUUAAUCGAAUAUAUGAACACUUGCUUUAAGUCCCUAGUUGCAGGCUGUUUUGGCCUAUCCUGUGCUUAAUUUGUCUCUAACUUGGUGAGAACUUCAUGGUUGAUAUGGAAAUUUGAGAAUCCAGCAGUCAACGCAGGCUGCCACAAAUAGAGGUUUUUUCUUUGGAUAAGGUGGGACACCCCCAACUAAAAUGCCUUUGUAUAGAAAAUGGUAAGAACACCACAACAAAUGCCUAGACUGGCAUGUCUCUUCCCUUCUCCUCCUUGGCCACAAUCCUUUAAUUUCUUUCCCACUAUCCUGUCUCCCCUCUAGUCAUGUUGUCCUCUACUCAGUCAGACUCUAAUUAUUAACUACUACCUUCUGGAUAUUCUCCAUCUCUGAGCCUCGUUGACCUCUCAGUCCAUUGACUGUUUUGACUGUUUCUAUGGUAAUGACUUGUUAGAGUGUGGGGGUGUCAGAUUAAUCUGUUAUUGGUCCCAUCCCAUGGGAUGGAGAAAUGAGCACUGCAUGUUCCAGGGAUAGCCUGUUCAGAGGUUCCAGAAUAAUCCGUGGGAAAGAUUUUAAUGUUGUGUGCAGUCCUCGCUGAAAUGAACAGACGUGCUAGCUUUCUCCUCAUUCAACCUCUGGAUAUUGAGUAUUAUGUGGGCUUCCAGCCAAAACCACACGUGGGCAGGAAGGAGCGCACUGCAGUCCGCAGUGUUUUUGUUGUGACAAAGGAGGCUUUCUGCUGCAGUGCCUGAUGCAGAGACACACCCCCAAAACAUCAGCGAGCCUCCACCACGUUUGACCAUAUUUAUGGGGCAGCAGGUGGCUGUAAUCAGAAGAUCGCCGGUUCAAACCCAGCCUCAGCACAUCUGUGGGUCCUUGAGCAAGGCCCUUAACCACCAGCUCCCUGGGCGCUGCUAAGGGCGCAUUCAAGACACAUCGUGCGUCAGAGAAACACAAAUGCUAUGAAUCCUCAAAGAAGACUUCAUUACCCAUCCAGAAGUACGUUCUGUGGUGUGCAUUUAUUGGAUUACAAAUGGUCAUCUAUACUCUUGUUUUUAGGAGAGUACGAAAGAACUCAACUUGAGAAAUAUGUUGUUCUUGUCAAUGGAUGGCCCAAAUGUAAAUUGGAAAUUUGGUGCACUCCUCCAUCUAGAGCAUGGAGAACAGUUUGAUGGAGCAAUAGUUGGAAGCUGUGAUUUGCAGCCUGGGAGGUGGACAAGGUGCUGGGAGCCUUGCAUUUUCUUUUUCAUUAUGCACCCACCAGAAGGGAGGACUUCAGCAAGGUGACGAAGUGUACAAAAUUUCCAUUGCUGUUUUGUGGACAUAUGUGGCUUGAAAAUUUGCCUGCAAUUGAAAGAGCAAUUGAACUUUGGUGAGCUGUCAUGAUGUAUGUGGAUGAGGUGAAAAAGAAGAGACUCCCAAACCCAAGAUCAUCCUUAUUUGACACAAUGGCAGAAGCCCAACGUGAUCCACUCAUUCUGGCAAAGUUCAGGGUUUUUUUCGGCUAUUGCAACAAAUUUCCAGCCAUUUUUGGUGAAGUACCAGACGGAUGUCCACAUGAUCCCUUUCCUCUGCAAGGAUCUGGAGAAUCUGAUCAGGGUAUGUACAUCAUCACCCGCCUUCACACUCGGACGUGCCAUCAUCACCCGCCUUCACACUCGGACGUGCCAUCAUCACCCGCCUUCACACUCGGACGUGCCAUCAUCACCCGCCUUCACACUCGGACGUGNCAUCAUCACCCGCCUUCACACUCGGACGUGCCAUCAUCACCCGCCUUCACACUCGGACGUGUCAUCAUCACCCAACACGUGAGUUCCGAGAAAGUGCCGGGCAAUGCACACUCUAUCCCACGGCUGAGCUCCGGUAAGUGCUGAGAUUUCCCCCUUCUUUUAUACCAAAUUGGGAGUGGUACACAUGACCAGGCUCACCCCCCCCCCCCCCCCUCAGACAAUGCGCUCUUUGUUCUUUGUUCGUGUCCUAACUCUUUUUGCGAGAAACAAGCUAUAUAAGUAAUCAGUGAAAAACAUGUUUCUGCAGUUCGACCUUGGCACAAUAAUAUUAUGGGUGAAUCAUGGAUGACAUGUUUGAAUCUCUGGUUAUUUUACCACACAAUCAGAAAUCCAUUCCUCAAUCCCCUCAUAUGUAUGUCUGCUAGGUCGGGUUGGGGGUGCUCCACCACACUGUGAGGAAUGGAACCAAACAAUAACAGCUUCCCCAAUCAUUACAGUAACAGGAGGACAAUGAACAUUUUUUUCUAAUUCUAUGCUACGUGGGCGACGUGGCCAAUUACGUGGUCACCUGCGAGUUCGUCUUAAUACACACAUAUAAAGUGUCAUUGCUACUAGGCCAUCAUGCUGACAGUAAAUCUUUCAGUUUUGACAUAUUUUGUUUUUCCAGGAUCUUCUGAGACGUUUCAUUAAGCGGAAUGCAAUGGAUGUUUCUUUGGUUAAACUUGUGAGGCUUGAUGUCAAAGACCAAAAGCUGUGGGUCGAUUUCCACCAGGUGGGAGUUGGCCUUGGGGCUACUAUAGUCCUAAAGGUAGGGGCAGUAACUGUCAAUAACACCAGUUCUUAAAAACAAAACAAAAAAAGGUACUUGGACUGUUAAUUGAUAAUUUAUGGAGUUAAAACUAUGAACACCAAGUCCAGAGUUGAUAUGUUUCUUCAUGAGCACAUGUCCACCUCCUACAUGGAGCUCUAGCACUUUGUUCGGAAUGGUUAGGGUUAGGGUAAGGGUUAGGGUUAGGGUUGAAUGUGGCUCUUCCAUCAAUAAACAAGUUGAGACAUGCAACAUGGAGGAAAACCCUGUAAUUGCACAGAGACCCAUCCGUGAUUAUGUAUGAGUUUGUGGGUCAGUGACCAAAAUGCUUCUCACCAAAGAUGUGAAAUGUGCUUAUGUUUGUGUUUCGCCUCAUACCAGCGCACAAAAUUUUAGCCUACAUAUAUAAAUGUAAAUAAUAAUAAUAAUAAUAAUACAUUCAUUUCAGAUCCAAGUACCAUACAUAUUUAGGGGGGCUGAGGGGCGGGCAUGCAUGUUGUCAUGGGGGGCCCCCUCCAGAACCACCCCUCAAAACACUCUUAAAUGCUGGGGGAUCUUGAAAAAUGUGUGAUGUCAGGCCUUAAAGUGGCCUUCAAUCAGACUUUCCUUGAAGGUGCAUAAAAAUAUAGUUCCAUAGUACUUUAGAUUCAUACUGUAGCUUUCUUUGCAGUAAGCAACGGUCGGUAGUUUUUCUUUUUCUUUGCUUAUAAGCAGCUUAAUGUAAGCGAAAGAACAUAAGCCAGUUGGCAAAAGUCCUGUACAUCCUCCAUGUUCACAACUGGCUUGCUUCCAUGAAAACAGGAGAAACAUUCUUCAGUCCCAUGAAGAAUAGCUAAUUGGAGCUCACCGAUGUAGGCAUAACAAAAUUUUUACAUUUACGUGUGCCUGCGGUAGUGCGUUCACAGAAAGAUUAGUUGUCACAGAGUGGUGAAAUUUUUGUCUGUUUCUGGGGAAAAAAAAGAUCUUUAGGAGAAUUUUUGCAUUAUUAAACAAAAAAGUAUUAGUGCAGGCAGGUGCUCAGUCUCAGUGUAUGUAGUACGUGUGUUUUGCCGAGUUCUGUUUGUGCUGCCAGGUGUAGAUGCCAUCCCACUGUUUGCGGCAUGAACAUCCAUCUGCAAAGUUCGGUUUGGCUGCGUGUCAAGCUUUUUUUGAGCAUGGGACAAUACGGUCAGAUGCUGUUUGAGUAGCUUAAAUUAACCUAGUGAAAUAUCCUCAUUUCAUAGGAUGACAGCUGAUCAAUUGGAAUGUGUGCAUGUAUUAAAAUAAACUGUGCAAAUUGUAUUAAAUACUAAUAAGACCAGCCUCAGUGGUGCAUUUCUGUUGAUCGCAAGAGCAGGAGGUAACUGGCUGUGACCUUCUCACAGGAAGCUGCAGAACGGCUGCCUGAUGGAGAGAUGGAUCAUGCAGAAGAUAGGCGAGAAAAGCCCGUCUAAGAAUAUCGACACUUCUUCUUUCUGUGGAGAGAGUGAAGCUUGCAUGACUCAGACUCGAAAAGGGUACUGUGGCCUUUGUUUUACUUAACUUAGGGUGACCAUAUAAUCCAUGUCAUCCCGGACACUUUGAGCUAGGACAGGAUUUGUAACCUACCAUUUCAAUUAAAAGGACCUGGAUUUCACUUAAGUACCGAGUUCUUGCUGUGUGCUGAUUGGUCAGUCUCCUA
Non-coding RNA from Paramormyrops kingsleyae, 4351 nucleotides. The record is from RefSeq and is a predicted model, not a curated record. NCBI's taxonomy places the organism in Eukaryota, Metazoa, Chordata, Actinopteri, Osteoglossiformes, Mormyridae.